AACGAACGCUGGCGGCAUGCCUAACACAUGCAAGUCGAACGAGACCUUCGGGUCUAGUGGCGCACGGGUUCGUAACGCGUGGGAACCUUCCCUUAGGGUCGGAAUAACUCCCCGAAAGGGGUGCUAAUACCGGAUAAUGUCUUCUGACCAAAGAUUUAUCGCCUUUGGAUGGGCCCGCGUUGGAUUAGCUAGUUGUUAGGGUAAAAGCCUACCAAGGCGAAGAUCCAUAGCUGGUAUGAGAGGAUGAUCAGCCACACUGGGACUGAGACACGGCCCAGACUCCUACGGGAGGCAGCAGUGGGGAAUAUUGGACAAUGGGCGAAGGACUGAUCCAGCAAUGCCGCGUGAGUGAUGAAGGACUUAGGGUUGUAAAGCUCUUUUACCCGGGAUGAUAAUGACAGUACCGGGAGAAUAAGCUCCGGCUAACUCCGU
This 432-nucleotide ribosomal RNA is filed under the name uncultured bacterium. Its description in RNAcentral is "partial 16S ribosomal RNA". It matches the Rfam family "Bacterial small subunit ribosomal RNA", at positions 29 to 506 of the family's 1533-position model. The record is from RNAcentral.